RNAcentral lists this ribosomal RNA (389 nucleotides) under uncultured bacterium. RNAcentral's name for it is "bacterial SSU rRNA". It matches the Rfam family "Bacterial small subunit ribosomal RNA", at positions 29 to 408 of the family's 1533-position model. The record is from RNAcentral.
AACGAACGCUGGCGGCGCGCCUAACACAUGCAAGUCGAACGAGAAGGCGUAGCAAUACGCUUGUAGAGUGGCGAACGGGUGAGUAAUACGUGGGUGACCUACCCUCGAGUGGGGAAUAACCCGCCGAAAGGCGGGCUAAUGCCGCGUACGCUUCCGUCCUCACGGGGACGGAAGGAAAGCUGUACCGUGGGUACGGCGCUCAAGGAUGGGCUCACGUCCUAUCAGCUUGUUGGUAGGGUAACGGCCACCAAGGCUACGACGGGUAGCUGGUCUGAGAGGACGAUCAGCCACACUGGCACUGCGACACGGGCCAGACUCCUACGGGAGGCAGCAGUGAGGAAUAUUGCGCAAUGGGCGAAAAGCCUGACGCAGCGACGCCGCGUGGGGGA